AUUAAUUCGAUGCAACGCGAAAAACCUUACCUACCCUUGACAUGGUCGGAAGUCUGCUGAGAGGUGGACGUGCUCGAAAGAGAACCGGCGCACAGGUGCUGCAUGGCUGUCGUCAGCUCGUGUCGUGAGAUGUUGGGUUAAGUCCCGCAACGAGCGCAACCCUUGUCCUUAGUUGCUACGCAAGAGCACUCUAAGGAGACUGCCGGUGACAAACCGGAGGAAGGUGGGGAUGACGUCAAGUCCUCAUGGCCCUUAUGGGUAGGGCUUCACACGUCAUACAAUGGUCGGAACAGAGGGUUGCCAAGCCGCGAGGUGGAGCCAAUCCCAGAAAACCGAUCGUAGUCCGGAUCGCAGUCUGCAACUCGACUGCGUGAAGCGAAUCGCUAGUAAUCGCGGAUCAGCAUGCCG
This 408-nucleotide ribosomal RNA is filed under the name uncultured bacterium. RNAcentral describes it as "bacterial SSU rRNA". It matches the Rfam family "Bacterial small subunit ribosomal RNA", at positions 945 to 1359 of the family's 1533-position model. The record is from RNAcentral.